UUGGUUCAAUGUGGUAUUUGUUCUUUUGUUGCCAUUGUUUUGUUAGGUCCUUAGAUUUAUUUCUUUAGUAAUCAUGGUUCUAGAUCAUUUUUACUGGGGAAGCUAUAUAAGUGAUUUUUUUUUUUCCUGCAGGAACCCAAGUCCAAAAAAUCUCUGCUUGCCAUACACAUUGCUAUACACAGGCAUAGGCUGAUGGGUCUCUUCUAAACUGUUCUGAUUUCCAAAAGGUUGAAGAUGCAAGGAGAUGACAUUACUAAAAUGACUUGGUUCUCGGUGCGAUGCUAUUUGCAUCUAAGUUCUUUCCAAUGCUGCUUAAAAACGUGGAGAAGUAUGGAGUCAAUAAGGGAAAUAGGACAAUGCCAUCUCGUGAUUAGGAGAUCUGAACCCAGUUGGUAUGCGUGAGAAGCCCUAGCCAUAUGGAGAGGUCAUGUGUUGAUGCCAGUCAGUUGCCUCAGUGAAAACCAGCCUUUGAAUCACUACAGCCAUCCCAUGAGACAUUAAGUGAAGAAGCCUCCAGAUGAUUACAGCCUUUAACUAUAUCAGGAAAAACAUUUUGUGCCCUACCUUUAUUGAGAGAUUAUUUUUAAAUGAUUGAAGAAGACAGGGAGAGACUGUACUCCUGAGAUGGGUCUAUUGAUUGCGAGACAAUACCAGGAAGACUUCUGGCGUGCUUGUAUUACUCCAUAUCCUGAUCUGGAGUUGCAAUUACCCCUGGGAAGAAGGCUCCACUGCCCAAGCACACAGCUGUAAUCUUCAGAAGACUACCCUUUGGCCAAACCUGCAUAGAGCUGGAGGUGCCAGGGAACUUGUGUCUCUCAAAGGGCAGCCUACAUCCAGUGACUGACUGAUGAGGAAGAGUGAAAGCCCAGCUCCUUUUCCUCAAGAUAAGGUUAUAAAUGUCAACCAAUUUGAAGGUAUGGAAAAGGAGAGAGAAAAAUGGAACAAAUUUCAGAGAAGAGGCACAGCUGAUGAGAACAGCAUUCUUAUCAAUGAGGUUUUUAAAUAUCAAGUUUCCAUCACACAGAAAGGGAUCAGCUGUGAAUCUGGGACGGUUUCUUUCAUACUUGGUAUUUCCUGGCUCCUGGCAGUUCCUUGUGAGUGACUACUGGACACCUGGGUUCCAUUUGGGACCCAAGGCUUUACAUCAUCUGUGAACCAGGUGGAGUGAACAGCAGAGCUGGCAUUGGAGGAAUUUGAGAAUAGGUGAAAGAGACUCCACGGAGUUCUCAUUCUCUCAUUGUAGGAAUUCUAGAAAGUUACCUGGUUGCAAUAAAAAUGCCUACUGCUGCCCUUUAAA
Herpailurus yagouaroundi (jaguarundi) is the source of this 1297-nucleotide long non-coding RNA. RefSeq lists it as uncharacterized. The transcript has 7 exons. The record is from RefSeq and is a predicted model, not a curated record. NCBI's taxonomy places the organism in Eukaryota, Metazoa, Chordata, Mammalia, Carnivora, Felidae.